Molecule: long non-coding RNA, 710 nt
Organism: Drosophila miranda
Lineage: Eukaryota; Metazoa; Arthropoda; Insecta; Diptera; Drosophilidae
Exons: 2
Source: RefSeq, a predicted model, not a curated record
CCUGAGAGUAGACGAAAAGGUAGAGGUGAAGGUGGUGAUUAGUUGGCACGAUGAUCUAACGGAUGAAUCACUGCAACUGCAACUGCAGCAGCCCCAGGCCCAGCCCCAACACCAGUCAGGGACAGGUUGUUGCUGCUGCUGCCCAGAGAAAUCAAUGCUGGCUGGCUGGCUGGAUGCUGAGGCUGCCAAUUAACCCAAUAACAAGGCCCGCGAAUCGUGUCAUCAGAGGACACAGUAGCUGUAGCUGUAGCCUUCACGUGUAUCCUUUAUGUGUCCCCUCCCUGCCACUAUAUGUCACUGUGUGUGUGUGGAUUGCGCACGUAAACUUGGCCUCCAAAAAUUCCGCGCAGGCAAAACAAACUCUACAGUACAACGCAGGAGGCUGGCUCCCAGACACAACAACCAAGGCAACCCACCCACUCCAAAAAGGUAGAGGGGGGAGGGGGAUAGGGAUGUUGCAGGCUGUGUGUCUCGCCUUUGUUUUCGAUUGUUGCAGCCUGCAAUUGUGGCACGGCACGGACGUUACUUCACCAAAAAAACACACACACACCAACAUAGACAUCUGGGUGUGUGUGGUGUGUGGCGUAGGGUGUGUGUGUGUGUACAUCAGCGAAUUGAUGCCUUUGCGCGCCUGUGUAGAUGUCGAUGUCGAUGCGUGCUGGAUCUUCCUGGUUCUAUGAUGAGCACCAGAGCCAUUGGCAACGCCAGCU